Molecule: non-coding RNA, 74 nt
Organism: Suillus fuscotomentosus
Lineage: Eukaryota; Fungi; Basidiomycota; Agaricomycetes; Boletales; Suillaceae
Source: the annotation of a RefSeq genome assembly
GGUCUUGUGGCUUAGUAGUUAUUAUGCUGCACUUCUAAUUGCUGAGGUCUUGGGUUCAAUUCCUACCAAAUGCA